Molecule: ribosomal RNA, 253 nt
Filed under: uncultured bacterium
Lineage: Bacteria
Description: partial 16S ribosomal RNA
Rfam family: Bacterial small subunit ribosomal RNA
Source: RNAcentral
UACGUAGGGUGCGAGCGUUAAUCGGAAUUACUGGGCGUAAAGCGUGCGCAGGCGGUUCGUGAUGUCUGGUGUGAAAGCCCCGGGCUUAACCUGGGAAUUGCAUUGGAAACUAGCGGGCUGGAGUGUGGCAGAGGGGGGUGGAAUUCCACGUGUAGCAGUGAAAUGCGUAGAGAUGUGGAGGAACACCGGUGGCGAAGGCAGCCCCCUGGGCUAACACUGACGCUCAUGCGCGAAAGCGUGGGGAGCAAACAGG